AUGCACGCUGGCGGCGUGCCUAAUCCAUGCAAGUCGAGCGAACAGACGAGGAGCUUGCUCCUCUGACGUUAGCGGCGGACGGGUGAGUAACACGUGGAUAACCUACCUAUAAGACUGGGAUAACUUCGGGAAACCGGAGCUAAUACCGGAUAAUAUAUUGAACCGCCUGGUUCAAUAGUGAAAGACGGUUUUGCUGUCACUUAUAGAUGGAUCCGCGCCGCAUUAGCUAGUUGGUAAGGUAACGGCUUACCAAGGCAACGAUGCGUAGCCGACCUGAGAGGGUGAUCGGCCACACUGGAACUGAGACACGGUCCAGACUCCUACGGGAGGCAGCAGUAGGGAAUCUUCCGCAAUGGGCGAAAGCCUGACGGAGCAACGCCGCGUGAGUGAUGAAGGUCUUCGGAUCGUAAAACUCUGUUAUUAGGGAAGAACAAAUGUGUAAGUAACUAUGCACGUCUUGACGGUACCUAAUCAGAAAGCCACGGCUAACUACGUG
RNAcentral lists this ribosomal RNA (496 nucleotides) under uncultured bacterium. RNAcentral describes it as "partial 16S ribosomal RNA". It matches the Rfam family "Bacterial small subunit ribosomal RNA", at positions 29 to 507 of the family's 1533-position model. The record is from RNAcentral.